Non-coding RNA from Potamilus streckersoni, 68 nucleotides. The record is from the annotation of a GenBank genome assembly. NCBI's taxonomy places the organism in Eukaryota, Metazoa, Mollusca, Bivalvia, Unionida, Unionidae.
GUCCGGCUCAUUUGGUUAGAGCGCCAGUCUAGUAUAUUGGAGGUCUAGGGUUCAAAUCCUACUAGACA